Molecule: long non-coding RNA, 3298 nt
Filed under: Triticum aestivum (bread wheat)
Lineage: Eukaryota; Viridiplantae; Streptophyta; Magnoliopsida; Poales; Poaceae
Description: long non-coding RNA (TAES_LNC026039)
Source: RNAcentral
GCUCCUCUGACAGAUCUAGGGUCAUGGGAGAGAGUGCAUCCGCAAGAUCGGUGCCAUCGAGAUCGAUCUCUCGAUGAGGGAUCAGAGUCUCAAUUUUCUCUGAUGCUUCGGUUAAGCCAAAGUGAAGGCACUCUAUUGUAGGAUCUGCACCGGUGCAGAUCCGAUCAUCGGAUGGUGACACCAUGGAGUUGUUUUGUCCACACAAAGGGACCUGUGUGGGCCACCAAUGAUGGAGCUAAAUCCGAUAGAUCUUGGGUACAGGGUCCCAAUCUCGUGAUCUUGGCUUGAUAGUAACAUGACAGAGAAGGGACACGGUGUUUACCCCAGGUCUGGGCCCUCUCAUAGAGGUAAAACCCUACAUCCUGCUUGUAUUUUAUUUAUUAUGGAUGGGGUAUAGAGUACAGGUUCAUCUAUCUCGAGAUCGUAUAUGUGAAUGAAUCUACCUCUACGGUCUAAACCCCUUAGUUUAUAGACACAGGGGUACCUAGGGUUACACCUAGGUCGGUUAUAUCUAAGGAUAAGCAUCCCGUGGAUUACAUCAUGCCUUGAAGUAUGCACCAAGACUUCGAAAGAUUCCAUCUUGAGUACGCCGUGGGGCCUGAGAAAUUCGACCCACUGGUUGGUAGUUUGGGGGUUCUCGGCCGAGCCCAUUCUUGGGUGCCGACAUGGACAGUAAUCCCUUGUCUAGGACACCAUCACCUGGCCGGGAGUCAACAUGGUAAGUACCCCCUGCUCUAGGACACCGACAAGCACAUGAGCUUCCUCUCACCAACUGGCAAGUCUGCGCAUGAGCUUUAUGAUCAAGUGACCAGUACAUGCGGAGCCGAUGGAGAACUACUCGAGGGACUUGCGGCGUGGCAACGAUGGUGGAGACGGCGCCGAGCAGAAGGUUCAGCGCUUGGAUUUGCAGAAGAAUGAAGUCGAACUUAGCCUCGGGCUAUCGCUCGGAGGCCGGUUUGGGCGGGAGAUAAGGAGCAGCGAGGGGCUCGCGAGGUCCUCAUCAGUCGCGUGCAUCCGGGAGGUGGCGUUGGUGCCUGCCACGCUCGCUAGAACGAACUCGCUGCGAACUAUGGCAGAUGCGGAGGAGGAGAACAACACCACUUCCCUUAGGAGCGGCACCGAGGUCCAGCCCUCAGCGACCCUGCAGGGCAGAGGCACAUGUGUGUUGCCCGCAGCAAAGCUGUGGGCCAGCUUGAACCCAUCUCGGGCUCAUCGGAUGGCGAAGGUGUGUCUGCCUUCAUGUUUCCUUCUGACGAUAAUGCUAUAUGUACUGUAUUAGUCCUUAAUCUAAGCAAAUGUGGUUGAGUGGUACUAUUCUUUAGCUCAAUUAAUUUACAUGCUCAACAAUGUUCAAAUGUUAGUAACUUGCAUGCAUCUCACUUAUAAAUAUUCUGUUAAUUAGGUAGGUGUAACGAACACCAUCCCAUUGUUUUUAUCUGGUAUAGUACGAAAGGGUAUUAAUUGUUUCAUUUCUUGUAAGAGAAGCCUCGGAUUUGUGAGCAUGGGUGCAAUGCACAUUAGGAAAGUGGAAUUGGGGCUUGCCAUUUACAUGUUGCACCUGACGGAUGAAUGAAGCAGUACCACUAUGGAGUAAGGCACCCCUGUUCUAGAGUAUAGCCAAGCUAUUGGAUCUUGGGUGGAUUCGGCAAUCUAGGGUGAUGUGAAAUCAUUUGUGUUUCCUCUUUGGCAUAGGGGUUGCCUUGCUAAUUUGACAACUUCCAAAUUAUGCUGUUGGUCUGUUUAUAACAGUUUGUGUGCAAUGGUUUACUAGGGCACUAUCAUGUUUUGAGUACCGUUUUACGAAGAUGCGAAAGAAAAGCAUAACCAUGCUGUGAGUUAGUAGCUGCCUGGGAAUCCAUCUCUAGCCCUAUAGCCUAUGGGAAUAGGAAAGUACUACUCGCGCCGUCGAGGCACACAAUUAUUAGCUCGCUAGCAUUUCUUUUUUACAAAGAGGCUGAAUUCAUAUAUUGAAGUCGACCAAUCCUUACAUGACCAUCCUUAAAGAAAUAGGAAAUUAUGCAUGGGUCCUUAAAAAUUGACGUAUUCUUCCUCCUACACCAACUAGUGGUCCGCUGUGAACAAAGAUAGAUGUUGAUGAUGUAGCAGCCAAGAAUCCUUCGUCAUAUCCAGAAGACGCUGGCGAAAAUAGAUCGCCAUCCUCGAGAAGGUGGGAAAGAGGGCUAGAUGACAACCCUAGAUCUAGAAAAACGGUUCUUGGGAGAACUAACCUCAUUAGCUCCCCGAUGAAGCUGAAACUAGCCAAACUUCAUCGUUGUACAAGGAGGCAGAGGACCAAGGGAUGAAUCACAUCGACUACUUUGCUGGAUGACAAAUUUUGACGAGAUCAUGUCCUUUACUAGUAUAAAAAUAACAGGAUCAUGUCUGUUACACCUACCUAAUUAACAGAAUUUUAACAAGUGAGAUGUAUGCAAGUUACUAACAUUUUAACAUUGCUGAGCAUGAAAUUAAUUGAGCUAAAAACAAUACUACUCUGCCACAUUUGCUUAGCCUAAGGAAUAAUACAAAACAUAUAGCAUUACCACCAGAAGGAAACAUUAAGACAAACGCACCUUCACCGCCCAAUGAGCCCGCGGACUGGUUCAAGCUGGCCCAUAACUUUCCACUAGCUCCACCCUGGUGUCGCUUCCCUGCAGGGUCGCCGAGGGUCAGACAUCAGCGCUGCUCCUAAGGAAGCAGUGUUAUUCCCCUCCUCCGCAUCUGCCAUAGUAGGCAGCGAGUUCGUCCUAGCAAGCAUGGGUGGCACUAGUGCCACCUCCUAGAUGCAUGCGACCGACGGGGACCUGGCGAGCCCCUCGCUGCUCCUUCUCUCUCGCCCGAACAGACCCCUGAGCGACAUCCCGAGGCUAAGUUCCAACUCCUCCUCCCACGAAUCCAAGCACUAAGCCUUCCGCUUAUCGUCGUCUCCCCCAUCGACGCCACACGACAAGUCCCUCGAGUAGUUCUCCAUUAACGCCACACGUACUUGUCACUUGGUUAGAUAAAGCUCCCGCACAAACUCUUCACUUGGUCAGAGGAAGCUCACGCGCUCAUCGGAGAAGAACCUGCCUAGGGGAGGAAGAGAAACCAAGCACAAUUAAGGAGGGCAACUCAUGAAGCAUGAUGCGAGAGAGAAAUGAACAUAUAGGAGGAGGAGAAUCGAGGAGAGGGGCCCGAACGAGAAUUGUGCAGCCGAGGAGGAAGGAGGGCAGGAUUGAUGUCUGCUAAUGUGGUGUUCCGCUCUACUCGUGGAUGCCUCGCGUGGAGAGGAAGACACUCUCUUGCAACACAAAUUUUGCUC